This 252-nucleotide ribosomal RNA is filed under the name uncultured bacterium. RNAcentral describes it as "partial 16S ribosomal RNA". It matches the Rfam family "Bacterial small subunit ribosomal RNA", at positions 524 to 776 of the family's 1533-position model. The record is from RNAcentral.
UACGUAGGGGGCUAGCGUUAUCCGGAAUUACUGGGCGUAAAGGGUGCGUAGGUGGUUUCUUAAGUCAGAGGUGAAAGGCUACGGCUCAACCGUAGUAAGCCUUUGAAACUAGGGAACUUGAGUGCAGAAGAGGAGAGUGGAAUUCCUAGUGUAGCGGUGAAAUGCGUAGAUAUUAGGAGGAACACCAGUUGCGAAGGCGGCUCUCUGGACUGUAACUGACACUGAGGCACGAAAGCGUGGGGAGCAAACAGG